This 451-nucleotide ribosomal RNA is filed under the name uncultured Novosphingobium sp. RNAcentral describes it as "bacterial SSU rRNA". It matches the Rfam family "Bacterial small subunit ribosomal RNA", at positions 9 to 507 of the family's 1533-position model. The record is from RNAcentral. Lineage: Bacteria; Pseudomonadati; Pseudomonadota; Alphaproteobacteria; Sphingomonadales; Sphingomonadaceae.
GAGUUUGAUCCUGGCUCAGAACGACGCUGGCGGCAUGCCUAACACAUGCAAGUCGAACGAGAUCUUCGGAUCUAGUGGCGCACGGGUGCGUAACGCGUGGGAAUCUGCCCCUUGCUUCGGAAUAACAGUGAGAAAUUGCUGCUAAUACCGGAUGAUGUCUUCGGACCAAAGAUUUAUCGGCAAGGGAUGAGCCCGCGUAGGAUUAGGUAGUUGGUGGGGUAAUGGCCUACCAAGCCGACGAUCCUUAGCUGGUCUGAGAGGAUGAUCAGCCACACUGGGACUGAGACACGGCCCAGACUCCUACGGGAGGCAGCAGUGGGGAAUAUUGGACAAUGGGGGAAACCCUGAUCCAGCAAUGCCGCGUGAGUGAUGAAGGCCUUAGGGUUGUAAAGCUCUUUUACCAGGGAUGAUAAUGACAGUACCUGGAGAAUAAGCUCCGGCUAACUCCGUA